This is a long non-coding RNA of Daphnia pulicaria, 357 nucleotides long. RefSeq lists it as uncharacterized. The transcript has 3 exons. Lineage: Eukaryota; Metazoa; Arthropoda; Branchiopoda; Diplostraca; Daphniidae. The record is from RefSeq and is a predicted model, not a curated record.
ACCAUGAGUGACAGAGGGACUCAAAUGACCACAACAUUUAUGCUCUUUGAAUAAUCACUUUCAAUUACAAUUACAAAAGUGAAUACUGAAAACAUCUGUGAAAUCACACAGUUUCCUUCUGUAACGCAUUUGGAUCUCGGAUAAUACAACUCAUUUUGAACGUUCUGAUGAAGGCAUGACGUCUAGCAAGUCUCAGAUUGAAAACAAAAAAAAAACAAAAAAACACUUCGGUUAGAAAUUCCUGCAGAAAGAAACGGUGAAAUUUAGACAUUUUUAUUUGCAAGAUCUCGUCCAGUCGUCCGUCGGUACCGUCACUUGGAGAAUGCGGAUUGUGGACUUGGAGAAUAAUGAAUUGAU